AUCGCUUCUCGGCCUUUUGGCUAAGAUCAUGUGUAGUAUCUGUUCUUAUCAGUUUAAUAUUUUUUUUAGGCAAAUAUAGUUAAAUAUGUUAAAAUUCUCC
This 100-nucleotide small nuclear RNA is filed under the name Myotis lucifugus (little brown bat). RNAcentral describes it as "U2 spliceosomal RNA". It matches the Rfam family "U2 spliceosomal RNA". From Rfam's summary of the family: U2 is a small nuclear RNA (snRNA) component of the spliceosome (involved in pre-mRNA splicing). Complementary binding between U2 snRNA (in an area lying towards the 5' end but 3' to hairpin I) and the branchpoint sequence (BPS) of the intron results the bulging out of an unpaired adenosine, on the BPS, which initiates a nucleophilic attack at the intronic 5' splice site, thus starting the first of two transesterification reactions that mediate splicing. The record is from Rfam by way of RNAcentral. Lineage: Eukaryota; Metazoa; Chordata; Mammalia; Chiroptera; Vespertilionidae.